Molecule: ribosomal RNA, 254 nt
Filed under: uncultured bacterium
Lineage: Bacteria
Description: partial 16S ribosomal RNA
Rfam family: Bacterial small subunit ribosomal RNA
Source: RNAcentral
UACGUAGGGAGCAAGCGUUGUUCGGAUUUACUGGGCGUAAAGGGCGCGUAGGCGGCAAAUUAAGUCAGCUGUGAAAUCUCCGAGCUUAACUCGGAACUGUCAGCUGAUACUGAUCUGCUAGAGUGCGGAAAGGGCAAUCGGAAUUCUUGGUGUAGCGGUGAAAUGCGUAGAUAUCAAGAGGAACACCUGAGGUGAAGACGGGUUGCUGGGCCGACACUGACGCUGAGUGCGCGAAAGCCAGGGGAGCAAACGGG